Molecule: ribosomal RNA, 496 nt
Filed under: uncultured bacterium
Lineage: Bacteria
Description: partial 16S ribosomal RNA
Rfam family: Bacterial small subunit ribosomal RNA
Source: RNAcentral
GAUGAACGCUGGCGGCGUGCCUAAUACAUGCAAGUCGAGCGAACAGACGAGGAGCUUGCUCCUCUGACGUUAGCGGCGGACGGGUGAGUAACACGUGGAUAACCUACCUAUAAGACUGGGAUAACUUCGGGAAACCGGAGCUAAUACCGGAUAAUAUAUUGAACCGCAUGGUUCAAUAGUGAAAGACGGUUUUGCUGUCACUUAUAGAUGGAUCCGCGCCGCAUUAGCUAGUUGGUAAGGUAACGGCUUACCAAGGCAACGAUGCGUAGCCGACCUGAGAGGGUGAUCGGCCACCCUGGAACUGAGACACGGUCCAGACUCCUACGGGAGGCAGCAGUAGGGAAUCUGCCGCAAUGGGCGAAAGCCUGACGGAGCAACGCCGCGUGAGUGAUGAAGGUCUUCGGAUCGUAAAACUCUGUUAUUAGGGAAGAACAAAUGUGUAAGUAACUAUGCACGUCUUGACGGUACCUAAUCAGAAAGCCACGGCUAACUACGU